RNAcentral lists this ribosomal RNA (420 nucleotides) under Plebeia droryana. RNAcentral describes it as "partial 16S large subunit ribosomal RNA". Lineage: Eukaryota; Metazoa; Arthropoda; Insecta; Hymenoptera; Apidae. The record is from RNAcentral.
UUUAAUGGCUGCAGUAUAACUAACUGUACAAAGGUAGCAUAAUCAAUUGGUUUUUAAAUGAAAUCUGGAAUGAAAGGAUUAAUGAAAUAUAUACUGUCUCAUAUUUAUUUUAUGAAUUUAAAAUUUUAAUAAAAAUGUUAAAAUUUAUUUAUGGGACGAUAAGACCCUAUAGAAUUUUAUAUUAAAUUAAUUUUAUAAUUAAAUAUAAAAUUUAAUUUAAUAUUUAAUUGGGAGAAUUAUUAAAUUUAAUGAAUUUUAAUUAAUAAAAACUUUAAUUAAAGAAAAUUUUAUUGAUUUUUAAUUUAAAAUUAAUAGAUUAAAUUACCUUAGGGAUAACAGCGUAAUAUUUUUUUAUAGAUCUUAUAGAAAAAAAUGAUUGCGACCUCGAUGUUGAAUUAAGAUAAAUUUUAAAUGUAGACU